RNAcentral lists this ribosomal RNA (253 nucleotides) under uncultured bacterium. RNAcentral's name for it is "partial 16S ribosomal RNA". It matches the Rfam family "Bacterial small subunit ribosomal RNA", at positions 524 to 776 of the family's 1533-position model. The record is from RNAcentral.
UACGGAGGGGACUAGCGUUGUUCGGAAUUACUGGGCGUAAAGCGCACGUAGGCGGAUUUGUAAGUCAGGGGUGAAAUCCCGAGGCUCAACCUCGGAACUGCCUUUGAUACUGCAAAUCUCGAGUCCGGAAGAGGUGAGUGGAAUUCCUAGUGUAGAGGUGAAAUUCGUAGAUAUUCGCAAGAACACCAGUGGCGAAGGCGGCUCACUGGCCCGAUACUGACGCUGAGGCACGAAAGCGUGGGGAGCAAACAGG